GAGUAAAUGAUAUGGGACUAUUGUUACUGUUUGCCAUUCAUGGGGGUGUGGAGAAGCUCCAGUCAUGCCUGUUCCUGGCACUCGCAAAUUUCUGGGAAAAUUCCUGUUUUCAUCCCUCUGUAUUUCUACAUCACCACCAGGUAGAAUUCAUCCUGCUGAAAAGGUCUGAGCCUUCAUUUCUUUGGAGAUCCUCUAAAAAACAACUGCUUAUCACCAGGCUCCAAGACACCCGUAGGAACAGAGGUGGGUGGAUGGCCACAAGGCUAAAAGCAGCAGCUGUCCAGAUUCUUGGCCUUUCAUUCCAGAUGACCCUGAACAUAGCUGGAUGAGAAGAAUCCUGGAGAACUG
Mustela erminea (ermine) is the source of this 348-nucleotide long non-coding RNA. RefSeq lists it as uncharacterized. The transcript has 3 exons. Lineage: Eukaryota; Metazoa; Chordata; Mammalia; Carnivora; Mustelidae. The record is from RefSeq and is a predicted model, not a curated record.